AGUAACGCGUGNGUAACCUGCCUUUCUAGAGGGGGAGUAACGUUCUGAAAAGAACGCUAAUACGCAUGAGACUACAGAGCUGCAUGGCUCAGUGGUCAAAGGAGCAAUCCGCUGAAAGAUGGACUCGCGUCCGAUUAGAUAGUAGGCGGGGUAACGGCCCACCUAGUCGACGAUCGGUAGCCGGACUGAGAGGUUGAACGGCCACAUUGGGACUGAGACACGGCCCAGACUCCUACGGGAGGCAGCAUG
This 249-nucleotide ribosomal RNA is filed under the name uncultured bacterium. RNAcentral describes it as "partial 16S ribosomal RNA". It matches the Rfam family "Bacterial small subunit ribosomal RNA", at positions 109 to 353 of the family's 1533-position model. The record is from RNAcentral.